GGAAUCUUCCACCAAUGGACGAAAGUCUGAUGGAGCAACGCCGCGUGAGUGAAGAAGGGUUUCGGCUCGUAAAACUCUGUUGUUAAAGAAGAACAUAUCUGAGAGUAACUGUUCAGGUAUUGACGGUAUUUAACCAGAAAGCCACGGCUAACUACGUGCCGA
Molecule: ribosomal RNA, 162 nt
Filed under: uncultured bacterium
Lineage: Bacteria
Description: partial 16S ribosomal RNA
Rfam family: Bacterial small subunit ribosomal RNA
Source: RNAcentral